This is a long non-coding RNA of Mytilus trossulus (common blue mussel), 338 nucleotides long. RefSeq lists it as uncharacterized. The transcript has 3 exons. The record is from RefSeq and is a predicted model, not a curated record. NCBI's taxonomy places the organism in Eukaryota, Metazoa, Mollusca, Bivalvia, Mytilida, Mytilidae.
CAGUUUGACUUGUGUAACUGGAAAAAUCAACACUAACCAGACAAAUGGAAUAUUUGUUUCAGUAAAUGCAAAAACAUUCAACGAUUCAGAUAACUCUUAUUUCAGCUAUAAGAACCCUACGAUAUUAGAUUUCUCACCGACGAAAAGUUUUUUAUCCGGGAACACAACUGUAACAAUUAAAGGUCCCAAUAUUGGUUUCGAAGGACGUAAUAGAUACAAUAUUUCGUUUUGUGACAUGUAUAAUUGUAUUGCAUGCAAUACAUUUCCAGAUACUUUCAGUUCAAAUUACAUCAAGUGCAAAACUGGAAAUUCAUUAGAAACUCGAAAGAUGACUCGAU